ACCCGCUGAACUUAAGCAUAUCAAUAAGCGGAGGAAAAGAAACCAACAGGGAUUGCCCUAGUAACGGCGAGUGAAGCGGCAACAGCUCAAAUUUGAAAUCUGGCUCUUUUAGAGUCCGAGUUGUAAUUUGCAGAGGGCGCUUUGGCUUUGGCAGCGGUCCAAGUUCCUUGGAACAGGACGUCACAGAGGGUGAGAAUCCCGUACGUGGUCGCUGGCUAUUGCCGUGUAAAGCCCCUUCGACGAGUCGAGUUGUUUGGGAAUGCAGCUCUAAAUGGGAGGUACAUUUCUUCUAAAGCUAAAUAUUGGCCAGAGACCGAUAGCGCACGAGUAGAGUGAUCGAAAGAUGAAAAGCACUUUGGAAAGAGAGUCAAACAGCACGUGAAAUUGUUGAAAGGGAAGCGCUUGCAGCCAGACUUGCUUACAGUUGCUCAUCCGGGCUUUUGCCCGGUGCACUCUUCUGUAGGCAGGCCAGCAUCAGUUUGGGCGGUAGGAUAAAGGUCUCUGUCACGUACCUCUCUUCGGGGAGGCCUUAUAGGGGAGACGACAUACUACCAGCCUGGACUGAGGUCCGCGCAUCUGCUAGGAUGCUGGCGUAAUGGCUGU
RNAcentral lists this ribosomal RNA (603 nucleotides) under uncultured fungus. RNAcentral's name for it is "eukaryotic LSU rRNA". It matches the Rfam family "Eukaryotic large subunit ribosomal RNA", at positions 23 to 641 of the family's 3401-position model. The record is from RNAcentral. Lineage: Eukaryota; Fungi.